UACGUAGGGGGCUAGCGUUGUCCGGAAUCAUUGGGCGUAAAGAGCGUGUAGGCGGUCCGGUAAGUCCGCUGUGAAAGUCGGGGGCUCAACCCUCGAAUGCCGGUGGAUACUGUCGGGCUAGAGUGCGGAAGAGGCGAGUGGAAUUCCUGGUGUAGCGGUGAAAUGCGCAGAUAUCAGGAGGAACACCAAUUGCGAAGGCAGCUCGCUGGAACGUAACUGACGCUGAGACGCGAAAGCGUGGGGAGCAAACAGG
Molecule: ribosomal RNA, 253 nt
Filed under: uncultured bacterium
Lineage: Bacteria
Description: partial 16S ribosomal RNA
Rfam family: Bacterial small subunit ribosomal RNA
Source: RNAcentral